Molecule: ribosomal RNA, 250 nt
Filed under: uncultured prokaryote
Description: partial 16S ribosomal RNA
Rfam family: Bacterial small subunit ribosomal RNA
Source: RNAcentral
UACGGAAGAUGCGAGCGUUAUCCGGAUUUAUUGGGUUUAAAGGGAGCGUAGGCGGAAGGUUAAGUCUGCGGUAAAAUGUCGAUGCUCAACAUCGUCCUGCCGUGGAAACUGGCUUUCUUGAAUGUGCACAGGGAAGGUGGAAUUCGUGGUGUAGCGGUGAAAUGCUUAGAUAUCACGAAGAACUCCGAUCGCGAAGGCAUCCUUCUGGGGCAUGAUUGACGCUGAGGCUCGAAAGCGCGGGUAUCAAACA